This is a non-coding RNA of Xyrichtys novacula (pearly razorfish), 4160 nucleotides long. The record is from the annotation of a GenBank genome assembly. Lineage: Eukaryota; Metazoa; Chordata; Actinopteri; Labriformes; Labridae.
UUGGACGCAGCGGGGGAUCCCCAGCAUUUCGUUUCUGCCUCGCUUGGCGUAUCAUCAUCUUUUACCGGAAGGAGAUGAGCGGGUUCACACUCGCAGAGGGCAGCAGGAACACAGGACGCUCUUCGCUCGGCUCCCCGUCUCUCUUCUCUCCUCUUCCUCUCUUCCCACGUCUGUCUCUCCAUCUUCGAAAUCCGCUGCUGCACAGGCUGCCGGGACAGCGCGAGGAGACCGCGGAGAGCAAAGGGGAAAAGGUGCUUCACCUGCGGAGCGGUUUACUUCCGAGCAGCAGAGGAAGCUCUGGAGCGAACAGCUGCAGUGUUCGGUGAACUCUGGCAGUUUGACGGUAGUUUCUCCGCUGUAGAGGGAGGAGGACGACCGAGCCGUUCAUCUUCAUUUCACGUGUGCCCUGCUCUGACAGCCGCGCGCACCGAGCUGCCUUGGACAUUAGAUGCUCCAGCCUUUUUUCCUUUCCCACAUGCGAGAAAACGCAUUUUAGACACACUCAAUCCGUGACUGAAGGACGGAAACACGCGUCUUCGUUCCCCCCAGACUUCAGCUCAUCAAAGCGAUCAGAAAAGUAAAGUAGAGGGGAGAGACGGUGCGGCAGAUACAGCGCUCUGAGUGCGCUUUGUAUUUGAUUUUUUUUCCUGAAAUUCUGAAAGUGGAAGUUUGUUUUGCGGGAGGGGGGGGGAGUGGAAGAAAACAAGAAACCAAACGGAGGUGGUAAACUAGCAGAGGAGGAUCUGCGCACCGGGACGGACAGGUAGGACAGAUCAGACAUACUGGACAUGAUCAGAAAGGGAACGAAAGGUGUUUAAAUCUAGUCAAACGUUUUGAUUUGCAGGUCGAGCAAAUACUGCCGAGCAGUAUUUCAGGGAAACGGCAGUUUUGUUUUGUUUUUAGCGACAGAUGCCAUUCUCUCCGGUAAAAAUGGCAGGUCAUCAGUGCUUUACAUGUCGAUACACAUCACGCUCUGUAAGACACGUUUAAGAGCAUCCGAAUAAAAUCCUCGGCUUUUCAUUAAGGGACCAAUGAAAACAAAAUGACACCACGUGUUUGAUAAAUUUCUAACUUUUCUAAUUGGCUCUCCGUUAUUAACCUCCAGUUGGACAACAACAUCUGUGCGCACGCAGGGAGAUCCUCUUUUAAAGUUGUUGUUGUUUUUUUUUUUUUUUGAAAAGCACACUUCGCUGUAGACCGAUUUAUGCGCCGAAUGAGGAGCUGGGGUCUGCGCUUUGAGAAGAUACCAAACAAUUUGUUUAAAUACACACAGCACUGUACCCCUUAAAUCCAUAGUUUUUCUGAAUGGAAAACGUGGCGAUCUCGACGUACUUCAGGUUUACUGUGCAGAAUCUACACACGCACACUCGUGUAAUGUUUUAAAAGGCACAUUUUGAGACGAAUUGAAGACGCACAUAUCUCAGGAACGAUGAGCUAAUAGAGAGGGUUGUUUUCAUCGUGCGUGUGUUAUUUUCAUGUGUUUAUCGAGGGAGAUUGAAGGUCGGAUAAAAGGAGGGCGUUUGGUUUCAGAGUGGGCUGAACAAAGAAGAAAAGUGAAAGUCAGGCUCGCUUGUUGAGCUUUAGAAACUCAUAAAUCACAGUGAUUGAAGGUGUGCUACCACCGUGAAUUAUAUCUCAAUUUUGAAACACUUGAUUUUGCUAAAUUCCAGCCUUAUUUUACUCGGCUGCAGCCGGCAAAGGAAUUUUAUGAACGUAUAUUCGACCUCCAGAACAGAGAUCAGUCACUCUCAUGCAGAAUAUAAUGAAAGUGAUUGAAUAACACCCAGCCUUUCAAACAUGCUGUACAACCCCAGACCUAUGAUUUAGUCUAACAUGGUUACAUUUGUGCUGGUUUGACCUCCCCUCCGCUAUUGAUCGCAAGCAGGACCCCUCUUCCAAAUAGGAUUACAGGCAUCUCUGAACUCACCAAAUUCAGGUAAUAAAUGUUAUUAAAGGACAGACCUUUGUUAUUAAAGCACACCCUACUGUAAACUAGCAAGGUGUACUUAAGGUGUGAGCAGACACUCUUCUGCAGUCUUUAAAGCCUUGGUGGGAAGUUAUGCUCCUGAAAUGUCUGCUGUUGCCUUUAUAAGUCCAGCUGGUGUUUCUGUGAGCAGACUUUUAAAAACAAUUUCUUUCUUUCGAGUUUUUUGGGCACUUAAUUUGCGGAUGUACUCGCUGCUCCAACCCCAUAUUCCAGGGUCGUGUUUAAUAUUUUAUCUUGCCUUGUCUUCUGGAACAGAGAGCUCUUGUCCUUGAUUUCUUCACCUUACCUCUGUCGCAGGUACCUAAGAGCUUCAGUGCAGUUCACUGAAAAUCUUUCGGGAGAUGGAGAAAAGAUUUUUUGGGGAAAUUUUUUUGGCUCAACUCUUGAGAAAUUGCAGGUAAUUGCAGUAUUUUAGUUCAAGAAUUGGACAGUGAAUGUGAAAAGCAAGUUAGUGGUGACCUUAAGAAAAGGAUUUGACACCUUAAGUGGUAGAAAAAUAACAUCAAACCUUAUUGUUUUGAUGCAUUGUGCUGUCGGUGUCUGAGAUUAAAUAGUUUGAGUCAAUGAAGUUUGGUUGCAUCUUUGUUGCGCACUCAAGGUGAGAUGUGGUGACAUUUGCUGUGGUCUGAUUGUCUGAAUGCACAGGCAUACCCUUUAAAAAAAUGCUUUUCAUUUUAUUUUAGGGUGUAUUAUCUACCAAGUAUUACAAAGUAUAAACAAAUGAAAGAAAAAGACCCAUGAAACCCUCAGACCCUUCAUUGACUGUGAUAAAUGAUGCAGAAAAUUGUCACAUAUCUGCUUUUGAAAAGCUCAAACUGCACUUUUAAAAAUGACUGAGAGGAUAAAAACUAUCACUUGACAGAAUGGAUGAAGACCAUAUUUAUCUGGAACAUGCAAGUAUGUUUUGGUUAAGUGGAUGCAUGUCUGCCGUCAGCCUCGCAUUAUUUUUAGCUGCUGUUGCUGUGUUGCACAAAUUGAAGUCAUUCCCUGAGCUUCUACAUUUCUUCUCGCUUUGUGGAAACUGAAGCUCUGCACAGUUCAGAGCGUUCACUGUAUUCAGGUGGAGCUAUUUUAGGUUUACUUCUAUUGCGCAGCACUGUAAGCAUUUGAAGCUUGCUUCGCUCUGAAUGUGUGAAAUUAAAGUCAAAUAAUUUUUCGAUCAUCAUAGAGUUAAACAACCAGGCUGAAGAUGAAGGUGGAGGUGUUUGCACAGAUGCCUGCAGCAUACUGUCCUCCUGCUGUUAGCUCCACAGAUGGCUGCAGCUCCCUCUCAGCAGCAGCAGAAGAAGAGUUAUUUUAGCAUUACUGUAAGUUUAUACAUGAAGGGUCUUAGUUUUUGAAGAAAAUAUAUCUGCGAAAGUGUUUGAUUUUUCUGUCUCUGAUGAUUUGUCAGAGGUCAUACAUUUGACAGGUUAGCACUUCUCAGCUGCACUCAAAGUCACUAUAAACGAUUUAAUCAAAGUGCAUGAUGAUAAAAUUCCCUUUUCCGCCCAUUAAUUUUUAGUGCAUCUUUACUUCUUAUAAGCCAGGACAUGCCUCUGAACGCAGGUUUAGUCCAUGCUUGCUUACUGCGUACUUAGCGAAGUGUCUUAUUGAACUGCUCUCCAACUUGUGCAUCCCAAAAAUGGCAGAUAGCGUGCACACAAGCAGCCUUUGACAAAACAGUUAAAAUGAUUCAAUGACGCACAAUCACACCCAUGAUUGAUGAAGAUCCAGCUGCUUCAACGGCAUCAAGUCCAAAUGUUUUGUUUUAUUCUUGCUGCAGAAAUUACCUGUAAAUGAUGCCUUCUUAUAUUUUCAUUCUCUUGGAUUCAGAUGGUGCUUUAGCUUCAUCAGGAGAAAAAAAAAGUAUGAAAACUUUUUGAACAUUUACUGUGCAAGUCUUAAAAUUUAAAUUCACAAUAUUUCUAUUUAAUCUGAUGGGUUCGACUGCAAAGACUUGAUCGGUUAUAAAAGUGCAUAAAUUGGUGUGGUGUCGCUGCAGGAUGUUUAAAGGAUUCUAGCAAAAGUUGUUUAUGUGAAUGAAUGUCAAUUUUGUGUAUUGAAUGAUGUGUGUUUAUGCACACACACACACACACACACACACACACACCCCCGCAUGACUGAAUUUGUGCUGUGUAUGCUUGUGUGUGUGCGUGUAUCUCUUAUAUACUGAAAAGUGUGCUGUGUGUGU